CUCCGGGAAGACACUUGGGGGACACUUUUGUGUCCGAGCCGUGGCUGGAGGAGCUCGGGGGGAACGUGUACGGCUCGGGAGCAAUUGGGGAGAGCCUGUGGAGCUCUAAACGGGCUCUUUACGGCGCGGGGCACGGCAGAACCUCACUCGAUGUUUCCCACAGCCUUCAACCAAUCCUUAACUCUGACUGCCUAACUCCCACAGAGAACUGGCUGCACUCAGGCAAAGAGGGAUUUUCUCCUUUUCCUUUCCUUUGAAGCCAUGGAAAGCUCCAAAGUUUUCCUGCUGAGAACAGACAUACUCGUCAAGUGUGUGCCAAGCCCAAGGUGCCACCAAUGAGGUUCCCGUGCCCUAGGGCAGAACCCUGCAAGAAAUGUUCUGGACCUUUGGACUGCUUGGUUCCACGAGGCCUCGCUCUGUCACAAUGGACUUUUGGUUCCAUGAGGUUCCACAGUGGAUAUUUGAUUCCUUGGGGCCCCACGGUGUCAGAAUGGUGUUUUUGGUUGCGUGAGGUUCCGUGCUCUCAGCAAUGGUCUCCUUGCUGCUGAGGUGUCACGAUGGAGCCUUGGUCUCAUGAGCUUCCUCAGUGUCACAAUGGUCUCCUUGGAUCUGCAGUGUCCCAGCAGUGCCUUGGCUCCAGGCGGCCCUGCUGUGUCACAAUGGAGCCUCAGUUCCAUCAGGCCCCACAGUGUUUCAAGGAAACAAGGGUUGCCUUGGUUUCACGUGCCCCAAAGUGUCACAGGGGUCUCCUUUUCCUGCAGCAACCAGCAGCAAACCCCAGUGCCAGGGCCAAAUGUGUGGGAAGAAGGAGGAGGGGGGACAUUUGGAGUGCUGGGUUUUGCCUUCCCAGGUCCCAGUGACGUGGGAUGGGGCCCUGCUGUCCUGGAGAUGGCUGAACAGUGGCCUGCCCAUGGGAAGGGGUAAGAGACAACAACCUCUGUCCAUGGAACAGCAGCAGAGAGCUGGGGCAGCAGGCUGCGUUUAAAAGAGUGUCACCAGCGCAGGAAACAUCAACCUAGGACAUUUUCUUGAAAGCUGCCAUUUGAGGGCAUUCUUUGAUACAGAACUGGACCACUGGGAAAGACAACGUUCACUUUCCUGGUCAAUUUUAAAAGGUUUACUAAAAAAGACAGUAAGGGACAAAGACAAUAAAGCAAAGGGUUAAAAGGGCCGGGUGCUUGGCACUGUGCCAAGAGCACCCCUGGUGUUCUGGAAACACCCUUUAUAUCCCAUUUCUAUUGCAUCAACUUGAUGGGAACUGACAGUGGUCAAAGAAGAGAUUUUUAGGCUUCAGGCAUUCGCUUGAGCCUGUGUGAAACUGAGUCACACAAAGUUCUCACUCUGGCCUGAGAAAUCCUAAGGAGGAAUCCAAACAGUCCUUGGGGAAGGAAAACAACCUUGGCAGGUGUUGUUUGGAUCCUUGUUGUUUCCUUGCAAGAAACAGUCAAGGGGUGUUGUUCCUAAUUGUCCAGUGCUGGUGAUGUGUUGGUUUAAUGACCAAUGAGAGUUUUACCUCUUGGACCUUCUCAGACCUGUCUAUAGAAGAAGAUCUGGAAUAAUAAAACUGGCUCUCUUGUGCUGCCCAGAAGAGAGUCCCUGUCAUGCUUUCACCAGUCCUAAUAUAGUGCAACACAACUUGAUGUGUAUUCAUAGAAUUAAGGUAUAUUGAA
RNA transcript from Poecile atricapillus (Black-capped chickadee), 1670 nucleotides. It is a transcript of the gene named olfactory receptor 14C36-like, with no coding region annotated. The transcript has 2 exons. The record is from RefSeq and is a predicted model, not a curated record. NCBI's taxonomy places the organism in Eukaryota, Metazoa, Chordata, Aves, Passeriformes, Paridae.